This 253-nucleotide ribosomal RNA is filed under the name uncultured bacterium. RNAcentral describes it as "partial 16S ribosomal RNA". It matches the Rfam family "Bacterial small subunit ribosomal RNA", at positions 524 to 776 of the family's 1533-position model. The record is from RNAcentral.
UACGUAGGGUCCGAGCGUUGUCCGGAAUUAUUGGGCGUAAAGGGCUCGUAGGCGGUUUGUCGCGUCGGGAGUGAAAACUUGGGGCUUAACCCCAUUCGUGCUUCCGAUACGGGCAGACUAGAGGCAGGCAGGGGAGAACGGAAUUCCUGGUGUAGCGGUGAAAUGCGCAGAUAUCAGGAAGAACACCAAUGGCGAAAGCAGCUUUCUGGGACGGUACUGACGCUGAGACGCGAAAGCGUGGGGAGCGAACAGG